Long non-coding RNA from Carassius gibelio (silver crucian carp), 972 nucleotides. RefSeq lists it as uncharacterized. The record is from RefSeq and is a predicted model, not a curated record. The transcript is spliced from 3 exons. NCBI's taxonomy places the organism in Eukaryota, Metazoa, Chordata, Actinopteri, Cypriniformes, Cyprinidae.
CCGGUGUCGACUCACUUCUGCCGCCGUGUGGACACGUGAUGAACACGCAGUGCGUCAGUUUGCGUUUACAGGGAACGAGUAACCUGUGACUCAUCACAUCCUCCAAAAGGAAGGAGUCCCCACAGGCACAGGAAAUGGACUAGCAGGUCAAAGGAGGUCAAGCAGGGUCAGGCGGAUGUAAAUAUCACAUCACAGAGGAUGAUGGGAAAUGAUUUCUAUGCCCAGUUCUUCUGCUGGUAUCAGUCUGUCGUGAAGACCUGCAGACACCUCUGAUCACUUCACACAGUGUAACAUAAGAAUCUGAAUACGUUACUACUUCCCAAGCACACACACUUACACAGAAAGAGGCCCCUCUUUUGGAAUUUUGAUUAGUAGAAUUCCUUCAGGAUGUGGGAUUGAGGACAGGAAUGGGAUCAAGGAGACAAGAGAUGAGCGACCACCGACCCCAUUUCCCCCCGAAUCCUGCCUCUCAGAAAAGCCUCCGAAUACACAGAGGAAAUGAGGCAAAGCGCCACCUCUCACCUCCAGGGUUUUGAUGUGGCGAGCUGUUUGGAUAUAGUGGGCAUUUAUUUAUUUUAUAACUGAUGCUGGUUCAGCUCCAGCUGGAGGGAAUAAAGCAGAUGGAAUGUUUUAAAGUGUAAACAGACUUGAGCGCUCUGACACAAAGGCUUACACCGGAGGGCAACAUAUCUACCUCAACAUGUCCCGACUGCUAGAACGUGAAAAGGGGUCAGUGUGGGAAGUGACCUUGCUUCUUUUCAAGCCCAAAUAAUAAGAGGUGAACUUCAUCGGGCUGUUCAGUGGCAGUUUCUCAAAAGAUCUGAUCAUAUAGCAUCAAGGAAUUGUGAGUUUGGUGUGUGUUUUAUGUUUGUGAUGCAUGUUAAAUCAGUGGGUGUGCUGUGUUUGUACAGCAGGAGUUGAUACCUGGAGGGGAGCCUUUUUCACAUCACUCCCAGUCCUCUGUGCUGUUUA